AAACACUCGAUUAGUUAGCUGGUUAGAUAUUUAACGAUUGACUAACAAUAAAGAAGUGAUAUUGGACCAGUGCAUGUUUUGUCUUUGGUAUGAUGAC
Long non-coding RNA from Octopus sinensis (East Asian common octopus), 97 nucleotides. RefSeq lists it as uncharacterized. The record is from RefSeq and is a predicted model, not a curated record. Lineage: Eukaryota; Metazoa; Mollusca; Cephalopoda; Octopoda; Octopodidae. The transcript has 3 exons.